RNAcentral lists this non-coding RNA (110 nucleotides) under mouse gut metagenome. RNAcentral's name for it is "SAM riboswitch (S box leader)". It matches the Rfam family "SAM riboswitch aptamer (S box leader)". Rfam says of the family: The SAM riboswitch is found upstream of a number of genes which code for proteins involved in methionine or cysteine biosynthesis in Gram-positive bacteria. RNAcentral also lists the same sequence under 1 other name. The record is from RNAcentral.
UCUUAUCAAGAGCGAUUGAGGGAACUGGCCCAUAGAAAUCGCAGCAACCCGCUGAUUGGCAAGGUGCUAAGUCCAGCGAAAAUCUUCAAAUGGUUUUCGGAAAGAUGAGA